Molecule: ribosomal RNA, 480 nt
Filed under: uncultured bacterium
Lineage: Bacteria
Description: partial 16S ribosomal RNA
Rfam family: Bacterial small subunit ribosomal RNA
Source: RNAcentral
GAUGAACGCUAGCGGCAGGCCUAACACAUGCAAGUCGAGGGGUAGAAGGAGCUUGCUCCUUUGAGACCGGCGCACGGGUGCGUAACGCGUAUGCAAUCUACCUUGUACAGGGGAAUAGCCCAGAGAAAUUUGGAUUAAUGCCCCAUAGUAUAUAACCUUCGCAUGUUGGUUAUCUUAAAGUUCCAACGGUACAAGUUGAGCAUGCGUCACAUUAGUUAGUUGGUAAGGUAAUGGCUUACCAAGACGAUGAUGGGUAGGGGUCCUGGGAGGGAGAUCCCCCAGAAUGGAGAUGCGGCCCAGACCAGACUCGUACGGGGGGGAGCGGUAAGGAAUAUUAGGCAAUAGAGGCAAGCCUGAACCAGCCACGCCGGGUGCAGGAAGACGGGCAUAUGGAUUGUAAACUGCUUUUAAAGAAGAAGAAACCAUCCCACGUGUGGGGGCUUGACGGUACUGUAGGAAUAAGGAUCGGCUAACUCCGUG